GUGCAUGUAGAUUAUGGGGUGAAAUCGUGAGGCUGUUAACCUUGAGAAGACUGUGUAGUUCGUGGACG
RNAcentral lists this transfer RNA (68 nucleotides) under Brachycladium goliath. RNAcentral's name for it is "tRNA-Asn". The record is from RNAcentral. Lineage: Eukaryota; Metazoa; Platyhelminthes; Trematoda; Plagiorchiida; Brachycladiidae.